UACAGAGGUCCCAAGCGUUGUUCGGAUUCACUGGGCGUAAAGGGUGCGUAGGUGGCGGGGUAAGUCGGAUGUGAAAGCUCGGAGCUCAACUCCGAAAUGGCAUUGGAAACUACUCUGCUCGAGGAUUGGAGGGGGGACUGGAAUACUUGGUGUAGCAGUGAAAUGCGUAGAUAUCAAGUGGAACACCAGUGGCGAAGGCGAGUCCCUGGACAAUUCCUGACACUGAGGCACGAAAGCUAGGGGAGCAAACAGG
RNAcentral lists this ribosomal RNA (253 nucleotides) under uncultured bacterium. RNAcentral's name for it is "partial 16S ribosomal RNA". It matches the Rfam family "Bacterial small subunit ribosomal RNA", at positions 524 to 776 of the family's 1533-position model. The record is from RNAcentral.